UCAGCCCACCUCUGAAACCAGUAACCCAUUCUCACCAUACCCACCCCGAACUUCCGACCGAUCUACUGUGUCAUCUUCUUCUUCACGCGUAAAGUAAAGCUUUCCAGUAGCCAGGCGGGUUCCUUCCCCUCUCCCUUAUCCUAUUAUACGAAAAUUGUACUCGAAGGCCCCAGGUCGAAAUCUCCCUUUCUCUCUUGUCCUUCCUCUAAAAUGGGAUGUCUCCCUUCGAUUUUCUGUUGAUGAUCGUACAAGGAUAGAGUUGGAAGCUUAUGCUGAAGAGGGAUUUGAAUUUCGAAAUCAAAUCCCAUCCAUUUUCCGCCCAAAAAUUUUCUUCCCAUUUUUCUCUCCUAUAAAUAUCAGUGAGAGAAAAGGGAAAAAACUUCUUUAGCUUGAAAAAAUAUUACAAAAAGUAGAAAGAUUUUGAGUCCAUUUUUGUUAGCAAGAACUUACAAGAAAAGGAAUUACUAGGUUAUAAUAUUCAUAUAACAAACAUGCGAUAAUUUAUUUUUUUUUGUUAUUUGUUGCAAAAUUUGUUGGAUUUCUGAAUCUUAAAGGAAGAUAUUGAAGUCUAUCCAAGCUCAUUCCUAUCUCUGGUUCUCUAUACGAAGAAGGUCUGCGUUUUUUAUUUGUUCUUGUUUCUUUUCAAAGAACAUUAGUCGUGUUUCGGUUAGCUUUCAAGUUUGACUUUUCUUGGUUGUUAUUCAAGCUCUUGAUUUCAGGAUGAAGUUUUCUUGCUGGAUGCUCGUUUCUUUAUUUGUGUGUGGAUAACAUAUCCCAUUUGAGCAUGUUUAUUUGUUCUCAAAGUUGAUUUCUAUCAACCUUGUUGUUCCGUAUAAUAUGAAGGAGUUUUGAUUAUUCUUUCUUCACAGGUAGCAUUUGUUUAGGUGUUCUCUUCGUUAUUAGAGACAAUGUAUUUUGAGAUUUCUUGUAAAUUUUAAAGCAGUAGCAUAAGUAUUCGUUAUUGUGUCAUUGUCAUUACUUAGGCUUUGACAUUCCAUAGUACAUAUGGUCGCAUGAUUUGGCUUAAUCAAAUUAUUUUUGUUUAUUAGUA
This is a long non-coding RNA of Solanum lycopersicum (tomato), 1051 nucleotides long. RefSeq lists it as uncharacterized. NCBI's taxonomy places the organism in Eukaryota, Viridiplantae, Streptophyta, Magnoliopsida, Solanales, Solanaceae. The record is from RefSeq and is a predicted model, not a curated record.